CCCUAGUGUAAACAGUGUAUAACUUGCAUGUUUUAUUUGAUACACUUUCCCAAUUUAUUUCUUGAUAUCAAAUGCAUGAAAUAUUAAGUAGGGGGAUGUAACUACAUGUCAAAGAGAUUUGGGUGCUGAAUCUUUAUGUUAAGUAGUGAUUUGGUCCAGUUAAAAAAGGUCAAAUUUUAUCACGUCUGAAGCUGUCAAACUGAAUUUUACAACCCCUUAACACAGAAUUGUCAAUAUUUUGAGUUAGACCUGAUAGAAGUUUCUAUAAUUUUGAUAUUAUUUGUCUCACUGGUAGUACACUACACUGUAAAAAUCUUUUUGAGAGAGAGCAGGUGCGAUUUUUU
RNAcentral lists this long non-coding RNA (344 nucleotides) under Mytilus galloprovincialis (Mediterranean mussel). The record is from RNAcentral. Lineage: Eukaryota; Metazoa; Mollusca; Bivalvia; Mytilida; Mytilidae.